Cotesia glomerata is the source of this 950-nucleotide long non-coding RNA. RefSeq lists it as uncharacterized. NCBI's taxonomy places the organism in Eukaryota, Metazoa, Arthropoda, Insecta, Hymenoptera, Braconidae. The transcript has 3 exons. The record is from RefSeq and is a predicted model, not a curated record.
GAUCCAUUGAUAAAUGUAGCAUGGAGGUGAGCUCGAGCGUGCGAGUGAUAGUGUGUGAUGCAUGAGUUAUAUAGUCAGUCUACCUCUACCGCUACCUCCUCUGCCUACUAUAUACUAUAUACAUCAUACUGGACUACCGACUUAUGUUAUACUUAUGUGUUGUUGGUUGUUGUGAAAGAUAUAAAGAAUAGCACAAGACUCAAGCACCUGGUCACAGGGAAAAAAAAGACUUAAAUGAAGAGCCACAUCAACGAAAGGCACUAACAUCUGGUUCUUCGCUGCGGUUUCGGCAUUUAGGCGAUGAUGGAUCACAGAUACAUAAAUACAAGUGUAAAUAUACAUGAUGUGUCACCCGCCCAAUAAAUACCCAUAAACCGGAAGCAACGCGCUUCGUUUAUUGAUUCUUAAAAGUUUUAAUAAAAACCUGGAAUAAUACUGGAAUAUAAUGAGGUCGACAUCAUCUUCUUGUAUGCUUUAAAUUGCCACACCACACGUACCAGUGGCGCUCGUGUCAUAAUGAAUCGAACAAGACGGUGAACUGCUUUCGAAGUGAGUUAAAUGAACACCUGUGCCAACUGGGGCACAUCCGAGAAGCACAGACGGACGAAAGAGUGAACGGGUGGCCAAAACAGGUGGGCCUGGGUGCUGGGAUUCUAUGCCCGGCCGGUGCACGUAGCCACCAGGCUGCAUAUUUCAACUUAAUUCAUGGAGAUUUUCGAGCACAAGCGUCACAACUACCCUCCUUACAUCCUAUCCCUCGCUACAUCUAACCAAAAUCAAAAAACGUACACGUGGGUUAAACGAUCACUCUCCUUUCCUUAUUCUUAUCUUUAUAGAUCGUCUUCACAGUAUUUUAACUCUAAUUGUUAUCUUUUAUUUUAAACUUGCCGCUUAUUAUACAGCUAUUUACUGUUGAGGGCUCUUUUUGUUACCCUUGGUUUAUACUUUCA